This 161-nucleotide ribosomal RNA is filed under the name uncultured bacterium. Its description in RNAcentral is "partial 16S ribosomal RNA". It matches the Rfam family "Bacterial small subunit ribosomal RNA", at positions 1339 to 1500 of the family's 1533-position model. The record is from RNAcentral.
UAAUGGCAGGUCAGCAUACUGCCGUGAAUACGUUCCCGGGCCUUGUACACACCGCCCGUCACACCAUGAGAGUUGGGAAUACCCGAAGCCUGUGAGCUAACUUAUAGAGGCAGCAGUCGAAGGUAGAAUCAAUGAUUGGGGUGAAGUCGUAACAAGGUAAC